AGAGUUUGAUUCUGGCUCAGGGUGAACGCUGGCGGCGUGCCUAACACAUGCAAGUCGAGCGGGUACCCGCAAGGGUACCAGCGGCGCACGGGUGAGUAACACGUGGGUAAUCUACCCCUCGGAGGGGGAUAACCGGGCGAAACUCCGGCUAAUACCCCAUACGAUCCAACAACACAAGUUGUUGGAUGAAAGGAGCGUUUGCUCCGCCGAGGGAUGAGCCCGCGGCCCAUCAGGUAGUUGGUGGGGUAAUGGCCCACCAAGCCUACGACGGGUAGCCGGCCUGAGAGGGUGGUCGGCCACAAGGGCACUGAGACACGGGCCCUACUCCUACGGGAGGCAGCAGUGGGGAAUCUUGGACAAUGGGCGAAAGCCUGAUCCAGCGACGCCGCGUGGGGGAUGAAGCCCUUCGGGGUGUAAACCCCUGUUGCGAGGGAGGAAUAAGGCCUGGAGGAAAUGCCAGGCCGAUGACUGUACCUCGCGAGGAAGCCCCGGCUAACUACGUGCCAGCAGCCGCGGUAAUACGUAGGGGGCGAGCGUUACCCGGAUUCACUGGGCGUAAAGCGGGUGUAGGCGGCUCGGUAAGUCGGGUGUGAAAUCCCACAGCUCAACUGUGGAAUUGCGCCCGAAACUGCUGAGCUUGGGGCCGGUAGAGGGAGACGGAACUGCCGGUGUAGGGGUGAAAUCCGUAGAUAUCGGCAGGAACGCCGGUGGGGAAGCCGGUCUCCUGGGCCGCGCCCGACGCUGAGACCCGAAAGCUAGGGGAGCAAACCGGAUUAGAUACCCUGGUAGUC
Molecule: ribosomal RNA, 791 nt
Filed under: uncultured Thermotoga sp.
Lineage: Bacteria; Thermotogati; Thermotogota; Thermotogae; Thermotogales; Thermotogaceae
Description: bacterial SSU rRNA
Rfam family: Bacterial small subunit ribosomal RNA
Source: RNAcentral